AUUGAACGCUGGCGGCAGGCCUAACACAUGCAAGUCGAACGAGUGGCGGACGGGGGAGUAAUGUCUCGGAAAAUGCCCGAUGGAGGGGGAUAACUACUGGAAACGGUAGCUAAUACCGCAUACGAUCUGCAGUGCCCACAGGGGUUUAGCUCGUAGGUGAGGUAACGGCUCACCUAGGCGACGAUCCCUAGCUGGUCUGAGAGGAUGACCAGCCACACUGGAACUGAGACACGGACCAGACUCCUACGGGAGGCAGCAGUGGGGAAUAUUGCACAAUGGGCGCAAGCCUGAUGCAGCCAUGCCGCGUGUAUGAAGAAGGCCUUCGGGUUGUAAAGUACUUUCAGCGGGGAGGCGUUACCCGCAGAAGAAGCACCGGCUAACUCCGUGCCAGCAGCCGCGGUAAUAC
This 406-nucleotide ribosomal RNA is filed under the name uncultured bacterium. RNAcentral describes it as "partial 16S ribosomal RNA". It matches the Rfam family "Bacterial small subunit ribosomal RNA", at positions 30 to 526 of the family's 1533-position model. The record is from RNAcentral.